This 509-nucleotide ribosomal RNA is filed under the name Lactiplantibacillus plantarum. Its description in RNAcentral is "bacterial SSU rRNA". It matches the Rfam family "Bacterial small subunit ribosomal RNA", at positions 1 to 482 of the family's 1533-position model. The record is from RNAcentral. Lineage: Bacteria; Bacillati; Bacillota; Bacilli; Lactobacillales; Lactobacillaceae.
UAGAGUUUGGNUCUGGCUCAGGACGAACGCUGGCGGCGUGCCUAAUACAUGCAAGUCGAACGAACUCUGGUAUUGAUUGGUGCUUGCAUCAUGAUUUACAUUUGAGUGAGUGGCGAACUGGUGAGUAACACGUGGGAAACCUGCCCAGAAGCGGGGGAUAACACCUGGAAACAGAUGCUAAUACCGCAUAACAACUUGGACCGCAUGGUCCGAGCUUGAAAGAUGGCUUCNGCUAUCACUUUUGGAUGGUCCCGCGGCGUAUUAGCUAGAUGGUGGGGUAACGGCUCACCAUGGCAAUGAUACGUAGCCGACCUGAGAGGGUAAUCGGCCACAUUGGGACUGAGACACGGCCCAAACUCCUACGGGAGGCAGCAGUAGGGAAUCUUCCACAAUGGACGAAAGUCUGAUGGAGCAACGCCGCGUGAGUGAAGAAGGGUUUCGGCUCGUAAAACUCUGUUGUUAAAGAAGAACAUAUCUGAGAGUAACUGUUCAGGUAUGACGGUAUNCCA